This 460-nucleotide ribosomal RNA is filed under the name uncultured bacterium. RNAcentral's name for it is "partial 16S ribosomal RNA". It matches the Rfam family "Bacterial small subunit ribosomal RNA", at positions 338 to 795 of the family's 1533-position model. The record is from RNAcentral.
CCUACGGGUGGCAGCAGUGAGGAAUAUUGGUCAAUGGACGCAAGUCUGAACCAGCCAUGCCGCGUGCAGGAAGACGGCUCUAUGAGUUGUAAACUGCUUUUGUACGAGGGUAAACGCAGAUACGCGUACCUGUUUGAAAGUAUCUUACGAAUAAGGAUCGGCUAACUCCGUGCCAGCAGCCGCGGUAAUACGGAGGAUUCAAGCGUUAUCCGGAUUUAUUGGGUUUAAAGGGUGCGUAGGCGGUCGGAUAAGUUAGAGGUGAAAUCCCGAGGCUCAACUUCGGAAUUGCCUCUGAUACUGGUCGGAUGGAGAGUAGUUGAGGUAGGCGGAAUGUGUGGUGUAGCGGUGAAAUGCUUAGAGAUCAUGAAGAACACCGAUUGCGAAGGCAGUUUACCAAGCUACUUCUGACGUUGAGGCACGAAAGCGUGGGGAGCAAACAGGAUUAGAUACCCCAGUAGUC